This 415-nucleotide ribosomal RNA is filed under the name uncultured microorganism. RNAcentral describes it as "bacterial SSU rRNA". It matches the Rfam family "Bacterial small subunit ribosomal RNA", at positions 9 to 420 of the family's 1533-position model. The record is from RNAcentral.
GAGUUUGAUCGUGGCUCAGAUUGAACGCUGGCGGCAUGCCUUACACAUACAAGUCGAACGGCAGCAUGAUCUAGCUUGCUAGAUUGAUGGCGAGUGGCGAACGGGUGAGUAAUACAUCGGAACGUGCCCUGUAGUGGGGGAUAACUAGUCGAAAGAUUAGCUAAUACCGCAUACGACCUGAGGGUGAAAGUGGGGGACCGCAAGGCCUCAUGCUAUAGGAGCGGCCGAUGUCUGAUUAGCUAGUUGGUGGGGUAAAAGCCCACCAAGGCGACGAUCAGUAGCUGGUCUGAGAGGACGAUCAGCCACACUGGGACUGAGACACAGCCCAGACUCCUACGGGAGGCAGCAGUGGGGAAUUUUGGACAAUGGGCGAAAGCCUGAUCCAGCAAUGCCGCGUGUGUGAAGAAGGCCUCGG